RNAcentral lists this ribosomal RNA (253 nucleotides) under uncultured bacterium. RNAcentral's name for it is "partial 16S ribosomal RNA". It matches the Rfam family "Bacterial small subunit ribosomal RNA", at positions 524 to 776 of the family's 1533-position model. The record is from RNAcentral.
UACGAGGGGUCCUAGCGUUGUUCGGAAUCAUUGGGCGUAAAGAGUCUGUAGGCGGUCUUGUAAGUCAGGUGUGAAAGCCCCGGGCUCAACCCGGGAAGUGCAUUUGAUACUGCUUGACUUGAGUGUUGGAGAGGGCAGUGGAAUUCCAGGUGUAGUGGUGAAAUACGUAGAUAUCUGGAGGAACACCGGUGGCGAAGGCGGCUGCCUGGCCAAACACUGACGCUGAGAGACGAAAGCGUGGGUAGCAAACAGG